ACGCAUUAUGAUAUUUUAGAGGUCGAUCUAGGCUAUGGCAACAUAUACGAGUUUAAAAAAACCAAAAUAGUACAAAUUACAAUAGCAAAAUGUCAAGGGUAGAAGGAAUAUAGUAAAUUGAGAACUAUCAAAACAAAAUCUACUUAUAUUGAAACAAUUAAGAAUGCACAUGCUCUGGAUGAUUCUCAAAAAAGCUUCAUCCGAACAUUAAUUUGUUUAUCUAAUUCCGAGUGCACGCCAACAAAUAUAAUUAUAUAGAUAUAUGUUACCACAAAAGAUACAAGAUACACAUCUAAAAUGAAUUCCUAGAUAUAUACCACUCAGAAUUUUGUACUCAUAGUACAAACCCAAGAAGCCAUUGGAGAACUU
This 369-nucleotide long non-coding RNA is filed under the name Cicer arietinum (chickpea). RNAcentral describes it as "long non-coding RNA (CARI_LNC003740)". Lineage: Eukaryota; Viridiplantae; Streptophyta; Magnoliopsida; Fabales; Fabaceae. The record is from RNAcentral.